Molecule: ribosomal RNA, 459 nt
Filed under: uncultured bacterium
Lineage: Bacteria
Description: partial 16S ribosomal RNA
Rfam family: Bacterial small subunit ribosomal RNA
Source: RNAcentral
CUACGGGAGGCAGCAGUGAGGAAUAUUGGACAAUGGACGAAAGUCUGAUCCAGCCAUGCCGCGUGAAGGAUGACGGCCCUACGGGUUGUAAACUUCUUUUAUGUAGGAAGAAACCCCUUCUCGUGAGAAGGGCUGACGGUACUACACGAAUAAGGACCGGCUAACUCCGUGCCAGCAGCCGCGGUAAUACGGAGGGUCCAAGCGUUAUCCGGAUUCAUUGGGUUUAAAGGGUGCGUAGGCGGGGAGCUAAGUCAGUGGUGAAAGCCCACAGCUCAACUGUGGAACUGCCAUUGAUACUGGUUUUCUUGAAUGCGAUUGAAGUGGGCGGAAUAUGACAUGUAGCGGUGAAAUGCUUAGAUAUGUCAUAGAACACCGAUAGCGAAGGCAGCUCACUAAGUCGUUAUUGACGCUGAGGCACGAAAGCGUGGGGAGCGAACAGGAUUAGAUACCCGAGUAGUC